RNAcentral lists this ribosomal RNA (498 nucleotides) under uncultured bacterium. Its description in RNAcentral is "bacterial SSU rRNA". It matches the Rfam family "Bacterial small subunit ribosomal RNA", at positions 903 to 1397 of the family's 1533-position model. The record is from RNAcentral.
AAAGGAAUAGACGGGGACCCGCACAAGCGGUGGAGUAUGUUGUUUAAUUCGAUGCUACGCGAGAAACCUUACCGACCCUUGACAUCCCGCACGCGAUUUCCAGAGAUGGAUUUCUUCAAUUCGGUUGGUGCGGAGACAGAUGCUGCAUGGCUGUCGUCAGCUCGUGUCGUGAGAUGUUAGGUUAAGUCCUGCAACGAGCGCAACCCACGCCCUUUGUUGCCAGCGGGUAAAGCCGGGAACUCUAAGGGGACUGCCCGCGUCAAGCGGGAGGAAGGUGUGGAUGAUGUCAAGUCAUCAUGGUUCUUACGGGUCGGGCUACAAACGUACUACAAUGGCACUAACAAAAGGUCGCGAAACCGCAAGGUCAAGCCAAUCCUGAAAAAGUGCCCCAGUUCAGAUUGCCCUCUGCAACUCGAGGACAUGAAGUUGGAAUCGCUAGUAAUCGCGGAUCAGAAUGCCGCGGUGAAUACGUUCCCGGGUCUUGUACACACCGCCCGU